CAUGAACCAAGAUCUAACAGUUCUCGGAACCAAGAUCUAACGUCGGAACCAAGAUGAACAUCGGUUCAUUGGAACCAAGAUCUAAAGAGUUCUCCCUUCCUUUACAUUUCUUCUCCGACAAGAAUGAUCUGAAACAGAGGCUGCUGGUUUGCCUAGAAGAGUCCAUUUAUAUUCACAACAUUAAAGACAUGAAGCUGUUGAAGACCCUCCUGGAUAUUCCUGCAAACCCAACAGGUCUAUGUGCUCUCUCUAUCAACCAUUCCAAUUCUUACUUGGCCUAUCCUGGAAGCCUGACUUCAGGGGAGAUUGUGCUUUAUGAUGGAAACUCCCUGAAAACAGUCUGCACUAUUGCUGCCCAUGAGGGAACACUAGCUGCCAUCACCUUCAAUGCCUCAGGCUCCAAACUAGCAAGUGCAUCUGAAAAAGGCACAGUCAUCCGGGUGUUCUCUGUCCCUGAUGGGCAAAAGCUCUAUGAGUUCCGGAGAGGGAUGAAAAGGUAUGUGACAAUCAGCUCUCUAGUGUUCAGUAUGGAUUCACAAUUCCUCUGCGCCUCCAGUAACACCGAGACGGUACACAUCUUCAAGCUGGAACAGGUCACCAACAGUCGACCAGAAGAGCCUUCGACCUGGAGUGGCUACAUGGGAAAGAUGUUCAUGGCUGCUACCAACUACCUCCCCACCCAGGUGUCAGACAUGAUGCAUCAGGACAGGGCUUUUGCCACCGCACGCUUGAACUUCUCCGGACAGAGGAACAUCUGUACCCUCUCAACGAUCCAGAAGUUGCCACGGCUGCUAGUUGCGUCAUCCAGUGGACACCUUUAUAUGUACAA
This 829-nucleotide small RNA is filed under the name Pan troglodytes (chimpanzee). RNAcentral's name for it is "processed transcript". Lineage: Eukaryota; Metazoa; Chordata; Mammalia; Primates; Hominidae. The record is from RNAcentral.